UGCAAGGGGAGGACACAGCACAGUGACAUCACAGGAUACCCCUCCCAUCAGGAAAAGCGAGGCUGAGAACUCAGCUCCUCCCCAGGAGGACCGAGCCCUGAGCACAGACACAGUGUUGCCUGACCCUUCGUGCCAUGGUCUCCAGGCUGCUCUGUUGGGUGCUGCUUUGUCUCCCAGGAGCAGGCCUGGGAGAGGCUCAAGUCACCCAAACUCCAAGACACCUGAUCAAAAUGAGAGGACAGCAAGUGACUCUGAGAUGCUCUCCUAUCUCUGGGCACACCAGCGUGUCCUGGUACCAACAGGCCCCAGGACAGGGCCCUCAGUUCAUCUUUGAAUACUACAAUGAGAUGCCGAAUGAAAAAGGAAACUUUCCUGCUCGAUUCUCAGGGCUCCAGUUCUCUAACUAUAGCUCUGAGAUGAAUGUGAGCGCCUUGGAGCUGGGGGACUCAGCCCUUUAUCUUUGUGCCAGCAGAUUGGCACAGCCCUACAAAGCCAACCACAUUCUGUGCACAAACCUCCCUGGCCCAAUGUGGAGCAACCUCAGCCCUGAUGUAUCUGUGAGAAUCUGGGGACUGCAGGGGGAAAGAAAGGUAAUUUAGGAUGCUAGGACCCACAGCCUGGGGCUUUCUGCUAUUCAGGGCUGGAAGAAACA
Molecule: non-coding RNA, 652 nt
Organism: Sapajus apella (tufted capuchin)
Lineage: Eukaryota; Metazoa; Chordata; Mammalia; Primates; Cebidae
Source: the annotation of a RefSeq genome assembly